GUGCCAGCAGCCGCGGUAGAACCAGCACCUCAAGUGGUCAGGAGGAUUAUUGGGCCUAAAGCAUCCGUAGCCGGCUCUGCAAGUUUCCGGUUAAAUCCAUUCGCUCAACGAAUGGGCUGCCGGAAAUACUACAUAGCUAGGGAGUGGGAGAGGUAGACGGUAUUCGGUAGGAAGGGGUAAAAUCCUUUGAUCUAUUGAGGACCACCUAUGGCGAAGGCAGUCUACCAGAACACGUUCGACGGUGAGGGAUGAAAGCUGGGGGAGCAAACCGGAUUAGAUACCCGGGUAGUCCCAGCUGUAAACGAUGCAGACUCGGUGAUGCACUGGCUUGUGGCCAGUGCAGUGCCGCAGGGAAGCCGUUAGGUUUGCCGCCUGGGAAGUACGUACGCAAGUAUGAAACUUAAAUGAAUUGGCGG
Molecule: ribosomal RNA, 416 nt
Filed under: uncultured archaeon
Lineage: Archaea
Description: bacterial SSU rRNA
Rfam family: Archaeal small subunit ribosomal RNA
Source: RNAcentral